Molecule: ribosomal RNA, 383 nt
Filed under: uncultured eukaryote
Lineage: Eukaryota
Description: partial 18S ribosomal RNA
Rfam family: Eukaryotic small subunit ribosomal RNA
Source: RNAcentral
CAAUAGCGUAUAUUAAAGUUGUUGCAGUUAAAAAGCUCGUAGUUGGAUUUCUGGUGGGAGCGAUCGGUCUGGCGCUUAGCGCGAGUACUUGCAUCGUCUCCGGCCAUCCUUGGGGAGAGUCUGUCUGGCAUUAAGUUGACGGGCAGAGGAUCCUCAUCGUUUACUGUGAAAAAAUUAGAGUGUUCAAAGCAGGCUUAUGCCGUUGAAUAUAUUAGCAUGGAAUAAUAAGAUAGGACUUUGGUACUAUUUUGUUGGUUUGCGCACCAAAGUAAUGAUUAAUAGGGACAGUUGGGGGUAUUCGUAUUCCGUUGUCAGAGGUGAAAUUCUUGGAUUUACGGAAGACGAACUACUGCGAAAGCAUUUACCAAGGAUGUUUUCAUUAA